This 701-nucleotide ribosomal RNA is filed under the name Escherichia coli. Its description in RNAcentral is "partial 23S ribosomal RNA". It matches the Rfam family "Bacterial large subunit ribosomal RNA", at positions 2230 to 2925 of the family's 2925-position model. Lineage: Bacteria; Pseudomonadati; Pseudomonadota; Gammaproteobacteria; Enterobacterales; Enterobacteriaceae. The record is from RNAcentral.
GGCCCGUAAUCCGGGUUGCGGACAGUGUCUGGUGGGUAGUUUGACUGGGGCGGUCUCCUCCUAAAGAGUAACGGAGGAGCACGAAGGUUGGCUAAUCCUGGUCGGACAUCAGGAGGUUAGUGCAAUGGCAUAAGCCAGCUUGACUGCGAGCGUGACGGCGCGAGCAGGUGCGAAAGCAGGUCAUAGUGAUCCGGUGGUUCUGAAUGGAAGGGCCAUCGCUCAACGGAUAAAAGGUACUCCGGGGAUAACAGGCUGAUACCGCCCAAGAGUUCAUAUCGACGGCGGUGUUUGGCACCUCGAUGUCGGCUCAUCACAUCCUGGGGCUGAAGUAGGUCCCAAGGGUAUGGCUGUUCGCCAUUUAAAGUGGUACGCGAGCUGGGUUUAGAACGUCGUGAGACAGUUCGGUCCCUAUCUGCCGUGGGCGCUGGAGAACUGAGGGGGGCUGCUCCUAGUACGAGAGGACCGGAGUGGACGCAUCACUGGUGUUCGGGUUGUCAUGCCAAUGGCACUGCCCGGUAGCUAAAUGCGGAAGAGAUAAGUGCUGAAAGCAUCUAAGCACGAAACUUGCCCCGAGAUGAGUUCUCCCUGACUCCUUGAGAGUCCUGAAGGAACGUUGAAGACGACGACGUUGAUAGGCCGGGUGUGUAAGCGCAGCGAUGCGUUGAGCUAACCGGUACUAAUGAACCGUGAGGCUUAACCUU